CGAGCCAAAAGUGUGAAAUGCCUACACGGGCAAAUCAGUUCACUGGAUUGAUUUCUGAUCCCACUUCGAUGCGUUGGAA
RNAcentral lists this unclassified non-coding RNA (79 nucleotides) under Brucella sp. 191011898. RNAcentral's name for it is "BASRCI153". Lineage: Bacteria; Pseudomonadati; Pseudomonadota; Alphaproteobacteria; Hyphomicrobiales; Brucellaceae. The record is from RNAcentral.